Molecule: ribosomal RNA, 253 nt
Filed under: uncultured bacterium
Lineage: Bacteria
Description: partial 16S ribosomal RNA
Rfam family: Bacterial small subunit ribosomal RNA
Source: RNAcentral
GACGUAGGAGGCGAGCGUUGUCCGGAUUCAUUGGGCGUAAAGAGCACGCAGGCGGUUUGGCAAGUCGGAUGUGAAAACCCGGAGCUCAACUCCGGACCUGCAUCCGAAACUGCCCGACUAGAGGUAGGUAGGGGAGAUCGGAAUUCCUGGUGUAGCGGUGAAAUGCGUAGAGAUCCGGAAGAACACCGGUGGCGAAGGCGGUCGACUGGGCCAGUACUGACGCUGAGGCGCGACAGCGUGGGGAGCAAACAGG